AUUGAACGCUGGCGGCAUGCCUUACACAUGCAAGUCGAACGGCAGCACGGGAGCAAUCCUGGUGGCGAGUGGCGAACGGGUGAGUAAUAUAUCGGAACGUGCCCAGUCGUGGGGGAUAACGUAGCGAAAGCUACGCUAAUACCGCAUACGAUCUAUGGAUGAAAGCGGGGGAUCGCAAGACCUCGCGCGAUUGGAGCGGCCGAUAUCAGAUUAGGUAGUUGGUGGGGUAAAGGCGCACCAAGCCGACGAUCUGUAGCUGGUCUGAGAGGACGACCAGCCACACUGGAACUGAGACACGGCCCAGAAUCCUACGGGAGGCAGCAGUGGGGAAUUUUGGACAAUGGGCGCAAGCCUGAUCCAGCAAUGCCGCGUGCAGGAUGAAGGCCUUCGGGUUGUAAACUGCUUUUGUACGGAACGAAACGGCGAGCUCUAAUACAGUUCGCUAAUGACGGUACCGUAAGAAUAAGCACCGGCUAACUACGUGCCAGCCGCCGCGGUAA
RNAcentral lists this ribosomal RNA (500 nucleotides) under uncultured bacterium. Its description in RNAcentral is "partial 16S ribosomal RNA". It matches the Rfam family "Bacterial small subunit ribosomal RNA", at positions 30 to 523 of the family's 1533-position model. The record is from RNAcentral.